Molecule: long non-coding RNA, 359 nt
Filed under: Oryza brachyantha (malo sina)
Lineage: Eukaryota; Viridiplantae; Streptophyta; Magnoliopsida; Poales; Poaceae
Description: long non-coding RNA (OBRA_LNC003041)
Source: RNAcentral
CUCCUUUUCUAUCUAUCUCACUAUUUCUCUCUAUUCUCACGGGCGUUUGGGGAGAGGGCAACCAGCGCUGGAGGGUACGGAGAGCGAUGGCGUCGGCGGCGACGUUGGGGGAGAGCGGCGACAGCGUCAGGGAGAGGUGGCAUCUGCGGUGGCGGUGGGGGAGAGAGCCAGCUUAGACGGCGGUGUCGACGGCCACGCGCGUCGGGCUGGGGGAGGAGGAGGCGGUGGAGUCGGGCUGGGGGUGGUCGAGUCGUCGUCGGGCUGUGGCGAGGCGGCGGCGCACUGCAGAGGGGAGGAGGUGCGGCGAGGCGGCGUCGGGCUGGGGGGAGGAGGCGGCGACUUCGGGCCGGAGGGAGGCG